RNAcentral lists this ribosomal RNA (383 nucleotides) under uncultured bacterium. RNAcentral describes it as "bacterial SSU rRNA". It matches the Rfam family "Bacterial small subunit ribosomal RNA", at positions 775 to 1154 of the family's 1533-position model. The record is from RNAcentral.
AGUAAAUAGAUACCCGGGUAGUCCACGCCGUAAACGAUGAGUACUAGGUGUAGGAGGUAUCGACUCCUUCUGUGCCGCAGUUAAACACAAUAAGUACUCCGCCUGGGAAGUACGGUCGCAAGAUUAAAACUCAAAGGAAUUGACGGGGGCCCGCACAAGCAGCGGAGCAUGUGGUUUAAAAUUCGAAGCAACGCGAAGAACCUUACCUAGACUUGACAUCCCCUGAAUAACGUAGAGAUACGCGAAGCCCUUCGGGGCAGGGAGACAGGUGGUGCAUGGUUGUCGUCAGCUCGUGUCGUGAGAUGUUGGGUUAAGUCCCGCAACGAGCGCAACCCUUAUCAUUAGUUGCUACCAUUUAGUUGAGCACUCUAGUGAGACUGCCC